Molecule: ribosomal RNA, 221 nt
Filed under: uncultured bacterium
Lineage: Bacteria
Description: partial 16S ribosomal RNA
Rfam family: Bacterial small subunit ribosomal RNA
Source: RNAcentral
CGUACGGGUGAGUAACACGUGGAUGAUCUACCUUUUGAUGGGGAAUACCGCUGGGAAACCGGCGACAAUACCGCAUAAGCCCGAGAGGGGAAAGCAGCAAUGCGUCAGAAGAGGAGUCCGCGGCUGAUUAGCUAGUUGGUGAGGUAAGAGCUCACCAAGGCAACGAUCAGUAGCCGGCCUGAGAGGGCACACGGCCACACUGGCACUAAAACACGGGCCAG